RNAcentral lists this unclassified non-coding RNA (208 nucleotides) under rhizosphere metagenome. RNAcentral's name for it is "partial ribosomal RNA internal transcribed spacer region". The record is from RNAcentral.
GUAGGUGAACCUGCGGAAGGAUCAUUAAAAAUGAAGCCGGGAAACCGGUCCUUCUAACCCUUGAUUAUAAUAAUUUGUUGCUUUGGUGGGCCGCGCAAGCACCGGCUUCGGCUGGAUCGUGCCCGCCAGAGGACCACAACUCUGUAUCAAAUGUCGUCUGAGUACUAUAAAAUAGUUAAAACUUUCAACAACGGAUCUCUUGGCUCUC